AUACGGAGGGUGCGAGCGUUAAUCGGAAUUACUGGGCGUAAAGCGUACGUAGGCGGUUGGUUAAGUUAGAUGUGAAAGCCCCGGGCUGAACCUGGGAACUGCAUUUAAAACUGGCGAACUAGAGUUGAGUAGAGGGGAGUGGAAUUUCAGGUGUAGCGGUGAAAUGCGUAGAGAUCUGAAGGAACACCAGUGGCGAAGGCGACUCCCUGGACUCGAACUGACGCUGAGGUACGAAAGCGUGGGUAGCAAACGGGAUUAGAAACCCCAGUAGUCC
Molecule: ribosomal RNA, 274 nt
Filed under: uncultured bacterium
Lineage: Bacteria
Description: partial 16S ribosomal RNA
Rfam family: Bacterial small subunit ribosomal RNA
Source: RNAcentral